GUGGGUACAGGUCAGCGGUAGAGCACAUGAUUAGCAUGCAUGAGGUCAUGGGUUCAAUCCCCAGUACCUUCA
RNAcentral lists this transfer RNA (72 nucleotides) under Camelus bactrianus (Bactrian camel). It matches the Rfam family "tRNA". From Rfam's summary of the family: Transfer RNA (tRNA) molecules are approximately 80 nucleotides in length. Lineage: Eukaryota; Metazoa; Chordata; Mammalia; Artiodactyla; Camelidae. The record is from Rfam by way of RNAcentral. RNAcentral also lists the same sequence under 2 other names.